UACAGAGGUCCCAAGCGUUGUUCGGAUUCACUGGGCGUAAAGGGUGCGUAGGCGGUCGGGUAAGUCUGGCGUGAAAUCUCCAAGCCUAACUUGGAAACUGCGUUGGAUACUAUCCGGCUCGAGGAAUGGAGGGGAGACUGGAAUACUUGGUGUAGCAGUGAAAUGCGUAGAUAUCAAGUGGAACACCAGUGGCGAAGGCGAGUCUCUGAACAUUUCCUGACGCUGAGGCACGAAAGCCAGGGGAGCAAACGGG
This 253-nucleotide ribosomal RNA is filed under the name uncultured bacterium. RNAcentral's name for it is "partial 16S ribosomal RNA". It matches the Rfam family "Bacterial small subunit ribosomal RNA", at positions 524 to 776 of the family's 1533-position model. The record is from RNAcentral.